UACUCACGCAGCCCACCACCGGCCACCAGCCCACCACCACGCCACGCCACCACCGUCGCGCGCCUCUCAAUCUCUGUAUCUCACGAGAAGGUUACUCACUCACUCUUAGUGCUCUGCGUUGCCAACGUUGGGAAUCUGCACAGCUGCACUCAAGAGAAAUGGGUUUACAGUCACAUAUGUGUUUUAAGCAACUUUCCUACUUUUCCCUUCCUACACUUUUCACGAUCCAAGUUCAACCUUCCUUCACUUUUCCACUCCCAAUCGCGCAUUGAUCACAAAAAUUCGCCCUUUUCUCAAAUCACAGUAAAAGUGAGGAUCUUGUUUGUUUCAAACCAGUAUGAUGGUCUUUGCUGGUAAUUGUUGAUGAUGAUGAUGGCUUUGUAUAUAAGGUUAAGGAGAUAACAGAAAGAAAGAAGUGAAGGAAUAAAAUGGGAGCUACUACUAUGUUGCCUGAUGUAGCAAUUAGGCUUCUUCCGCGAUGUCCCUUUGUUCUCAGGCACCCUUUUAUCUGUAGAGUAACUUCAAUUAGAUCAAUAAGAAAAAGAUCUCUUGCUUUUGGGCCUGUUGGAUUCUUGGGCUGAUUGGAGUAUCUCAUCUACUAACUUCAGUUAGGGUUAGGGUUUAGGGUGUUCAGUAACCUACCUCCCUCUUACCGUGUUUUCCGGCCGCCGCCGUCGCCAGUGAAGCUAUUGUGCCUAUCUCCGUCAUUCUCAGAGGUAGGAGCUGACCCCUCUCACCGGCCAGCUGUCCCAGCGUUCACUUAUCGAUGCACGAUCCCUAAGGGCCUACUAUUUCGCCAAACCAUGGCUUUCUCUCUUGGACGAACGCUCGACCCUCUCCUCCCUCUACCGUGUAGCCUCUGCACCAUGGCGGUCUCCCUUGUACGAACGCCCGUCCCUCUCCUGCCUCUACCGUGUAGCCUCUGCAACAAUUCUCUACUCCUUCCCUGGGCUAUUCGGUUUUCUCUUCUCUGCUCUGCCCUAUGGAGAUCACUUUACAGCUAUGCAGGUCUAGAGAUUCAGCAUCUUCACAAUAUCUUCCAUGGAUUUUACUGAGAUCCUACCAAAUCCAAAUCUGAGGUUGCUUCACUCCAUAUCCAGCUGGAGAUUGUGAGCCUCUGCCAUGGGAAAGACACAUGGAGAGAAUUCGGGUUCGGGUGUUGAGGAUGUGGGAGAUGUAACCAAUAUCUGAGCCAGGCAAGCCAGUUGCAGUGCAGCUGGUGCUAAUUGAUGCUGAGAUUGUUUCCCUAACAAAGAUUGUAAUACUGGGUUAACAACUCAAUUUGCUGGUGGAAUCAAGGUUGUGGCGAUGGGAUUCAUAACAUUCAUCCGCUUGACACGGAACAUGCCAAGGAAAAUCACUGAAGUUGGCGUAUGGUAGCUCUGUGUAUUAUGAUGGCAACAUAAUGAAAGCACCAGAAAUUUCCAUUGAUGAACACAUGGCCCUGAUGAAGCGCAUGGCUGAACUAGAAGAGAAGGUGAAUGCCCUGAUGAAGCGCAUGGCUGAACUAGCAUAUGGAGUACCUUAAAUUCAGGUCAUUAAAGAAUUCAUAGUUGAUCUGUGUUUCUGUGCAAAAAAAAAUAUGGAUGUAGGCGUUUAUGGUUCUUUUGACUGAAAAUAUUUUUACGUUAAUUUUAUUAGACUAAUUCCAGUUUUAGUGUAACACAUAAAUUUUUUUUUGGUAAAAUUGAUGCCUAUAUAUAUAAUUGUUUGGCAAAUGCUUUUUGCUUUAUCUAUAUCUGUCCAAUUACAAGUUAUAUUUACAACUCUUUUCUUUGUUCAAUUUAAGAGUAAACUUGACUAAAAUCUCAAUUUGUUUCUGCUUCAUAUAAAUCACAUCAGAGGCAGUAUGUAUCAUCAUGAUUCAUGUGAAGUUGAGAAGUGAGAACAAAAUUGCUUGAUAGAUAGUAAUAGUAUAUAUUAGCUCUGUACAUAACUUGAAGGGGCCUAAAACUUGAACUCUUGAAGCCACAGAAGACCAUCGUGUUUAUCUUUGAGCUGAUUCAUGCAUAUGUGUGAGUAUUACAUAGUACAAGGGUGUCUCUCAGGUAAGUUUAUUAGAAAACUUCAGUUCAUAGAAUUUAUAUGUUCACUGUGUUUUUUCUUUUUUCUGGGAAUGAGAAUUUUAUUUUUACGGUAUAGGGGUUUGAUAAGUGCUUUGAAUUUGCCAUUACCACUAAUAUACAAAAAAAUGCACAAAUUCUGUAAUGUCCUUUCCUUUUGUUCAUUUGAAAUGGUAGCCAAUAGCUUAAUUCAUGCAGUUAUGGGAAAGAUUCAUGUUUUAUUUGUGGAGGGAAUUUAAUCAAGAAGCCUUAUUGGUAUGUCAUUUAUGCAGUAAUUUGAAGUUGUUGUUUCAUCACAAAACCUUUGGGUAGGAAGUGAUGUGUUUAAUUUUCUGCAUUGACAUUUCUUCACUUGGAGUGGAUGAGUAGACAGUUCUUAGUAUUUGGUGAGUCGUUGGAGUCAAGUUCAAAAACUACCAAGAGCUAAUAAUGCAUUUAAAGGAUUAAUGGUUAGUUGACUUAGUUCUGAUUUUGUAAAGGGAAUACUGACUUAAAGGAUGUGUACCAAAGGUUUAUUUCUAAUUGUUUAGAUAUUGUGACACCAAUGAAUUUAGCUUCUAUUAAGCAGAUAGAAAUCAGAUGAGCAUGUUAAAUUGAUAGGAAUAUUGUAGACAAUUAAAACAAGAUGACUGACACUGUAACAUGGUUAUACCUUACUUCAUAAAUGGAAUGAGGUAGAGCAAGAGAUUCAUCAUAAAACUUACAAAACACCCACUGUAUAUAUCUUGGUAGUUAACAGUACGCUUUUUAGAUUGUUGAUUUUUCACACUAUAGGAACAGUUGGAGCCAAAAAUGAGUGGCUGCGCAGCAUGCUCCAGAGGAGAUUGACCCUUCCUCGAGUCAGUCCAGUCAGAAAGGAGCAAAGAUUCCCGACCCAGAGCAUGUUAUUGACUCAACCACAAAUCUAUUGAAUGAGUGUUAGGGACAAUUCUUGAUUCUAAUGGAGGAGUUCACUCAGAAGUGUACAAAAGCUGAUGAUAAGUGGACUGAGCGUAGAAUCGACGGCGUGAGAUACCAGUAGGACUAGAUGACAAUGUCAGGAAAUGGAAACAUCUCGCAGUGGAGAAUGAGGAGAAAGCUAGCAAUACUGCUAAGUAUCAACUUAAAUGUUGGCUUUCAUUUUGCUAAUUUUUUCAGGCUUGCUUGGUCAUUCAAACUUGCAAAUUAGAACUGAUUGGCUUUAAACUGAAGAGCUCAUGGGACUCGAAUUUAUAUUGUCUUUUGUACAGUUCGCAAUUUUUGUGCAUUAUGGUGUCUAUUGACUGUUUACUAACUUCAAUAGAGUUUGUUACGAUUA
Long non-coding RNA from Lotus japonicus, 3360 nucleotides. RefSeq lists it as uncharacterized. Lineage: Eukaryota; Viridiplantae; Streptophyta; Magnoliopsida; Fabales; Fabaceae. The transcript has 8 exons. The record is from RefSeq and is a predicted model, not a curated record.